This 501-nucleotide ribosomal RNA is filed under the name uncultured bacterium. RNAcentral's name for it is "bacterial SSU rRNA". It matches the Rfam family "Bacterial small subunit ribosomal RNA", at positions 24 to 518 of the family's 1533-position model. The record is from RNAcentral.
UCAGGAUGAACGCUAGCGACAGGCUUAACACAUGCAAGUCGAGGGGCAGCAUAAAAGUAGCAAUACUUGGUGGCGACCGGCGCACGGGUGAGUAACGCGUAUGCAACCUACCUAUCAGAGGGGAAUAACCCGGCGAAAGUCGGACUAAUACCGCAUAAAACAGGGGCACCGCAUGGUGAUAUUUGUUAAAGAAAUUCGCUGAUAGAUGGGCAUGCGUUCCAUUAGGUAGUUGGUGAGGUAACGGCUCACCAAGCCGACGAUGGAUAGGGGAACUGAGAGGUUGGUCCCCCACACCGGUACUGAGACACGGACCAGACUCCUACGGGAGGCAGCAGUGAGGAAUAUUGGUCAAUGGGCGGGAGCCUGAACCAGCCAAGUCGCGUGAAGGAAGAAGGAUCUAUGGUUCGUAAACUUCUUUUGCAGGGGAAUAAAGUGCAGGACGUGUCCUGUUUUGUAUGUACCCUGAGAAUAAGGAUCGGCUAACUCCGUGCCAGCCGCGGC